GGGCCUAAAGCAUCCGUAGCUGGUCUUGCAAGUCUCCGGUUAAAUCCACCUGCUCAACAGAUGGGCCGCUGGAGAUACUACAAGACUAGGGAGUGGGAGAGGCAGACGGUACUCGGGGGGUAGGGGUAAAAUCCUCUGAUCCUUUGAAGACCACCAGUGGCGAAGGCGGUCUGCCAGAACACGUUCGACAGUGAGGGAUGAAAGCUGGGGGAGCAAACCGGAUUAGAUACCCGGGUAGUCCCAGCUGUAAACGAUGCAGACUCGGUGAAGCGUUGGUUUAUGGCCAAUGCUGUGCCGCAGGGAAGCCGUUAAGUCUGCCGCCUGGGAAGUACGGUCGC
This 338-nucleotide ribosomal RNA is filed under the name uncultured archaeon. RNAcentral's name for it is "bacterial SSU rRNA". It matches the Rfam family "Archaeal small subunit ribosomal RNA", at positions 506 to 844 of the family's 1478-position model. The record is from RNAcentral.